UUUUCUUAUUUUAAUAAGAAUUUUUUUUUUGCAUAGAAAAGGUUAAGAAAAG
Molecule: transfer RNA, 52 nt
Filed under: Radopholus similis
Lineage: Eukaryota; Metazoa; Nematoda; Chromadorea; Rhabditida; Pratylenchidae
Description: transfer RNA-Ala
Source: RNAcentral